AUUGAACGCUGGCGGCAUGCCUUACACAUGCAAGUCGAACGGCAGCAUGGAAGAGCUUGCUCUUCUGAUGGCGAGUGGCGAACGGGUGAGUAAAGCAUCGGAACGUACCGUGUAGUGGGGGAUAACGUAGCGAAAGUUACGCUAAUACCGCAUACGCACUGAGGUGGAAAGCAGGGGAUCGCAAGACCUUGCGCUAUACGAGCGGCCGAUGUCAGAUUAGCUAGUUGGUAGGGUAAAGGCCUACCAAGGCGACGAUCUGUAGCGGGUCUGAGAGGAUGAUCCGCCACACUGGGACUGAGACACGGCCCAGACUCCUACGGGAGGCAGCAGUGGGGAAUUUUGGACAAUGGGCGAAAGCCUGAUCCAGCCAUGCCGCGUGAGUGAAGAAGGCCUUCGGGUUGUAAAGCUCUUUCGGCUGGGAAGAAAUCGCACAGGCUAAUACUCUGUGUGGAUGACGGUACCAGCACAAGAAGCACCGGCUAACUACGUGCCAGCAGCCGCCGUAA
RNAcentral lists this ribosomal RNA (506 nucleotides) under uncultured bacterium. Its description in RNAcentral is "partial 16S ribosomal RNA". It matches the Rfam family "Bacterial small subunit ribosomal RNA", at positions 30 to 523 of the family's 1533-position model. The record is from RNAcentral.